Molecule: ribosomal RNA, 936 nt
Filed under: Triticum aestivum (bread wheat)
Lineage: Eukaryota; Viridiplantae; Streptophyta; Magnoliopsida; Poales; Poaceae
Description: partial small subunit ribosomal RNA
Source: RNAcentral
AUGGCGCCAACGGUGGAGAUCAGGAAUCUCACCUUCACCUACCCGGGAAUCGACGGCAAGCCGCCGCCCGGAGCACCGCCCCUCAUCGAGGACGUCUGCUUCUCCCUCGAAGCCGGUCAGCGCUGCCUUCUCGUCGGCUCCAACGGCGCAGGCAAGACAACGAUACUGAAGAUACUAGGCGGGAAGCACAUGGUGGAUCCGAGCAUGGUUCGGGUCCUGGGAAGGUCGGCCUUCCACGACACGGCGCUUACCUCCUCCGGAGACCUCUGCUACCUUGGCGGCGAGUGGAGGCGCGAUGUUGCCUUUGCAGGCUACCAGGUGAAUAUACAGAUGGACAUUUCGGCAGAGAAGAUGCUAUUUGGUGUCACUGGCGUUGAUCCUCAGAGAAGAGAUGAGCUUAUCAAGAUUUUGGAUGUUGACCUUACCUGGCGGAUGCACAAGGCAUCAGAUGGUCAGAGGAGAAGAGUCCAGAUUUGCAUGGGACUUCUCAAGCCAUUCAAGGUUCUUCUUCUUGAUGAGAUAACAGUUGAUCUUGAUGUGUUGGCAAGAGCAAAUCUGUUGACAUAUCUAAAGAAGGAAUGUGCGGAACAAGGUGCAACAAUUAUCUAUGCCACACAUAUCUUCGAUGGCCUGGAUGACUGGCCAACUCACAUUGUAUAUGUUGCUCAUGGGAAGUUGCAACUAGCGCUGCCAUUAGAAAAGGUGAAAGAAAUGAGCCAGUUAUCGCUCAUGAGAACAGUAGAGCGCUGGCUGAGGAAAGAGAGGGACGAAGACAGGAGGAAGAGAAAGGAGCGGAAGGAGAAAGGCCUCCCGGCAUUCGACAAGGUCAUUGAGGGGAGCAGAGUAGUGAACAACGGGUGGGCAGCAGGAAGGCUCACUUCGACGAUAGCCGGGGAAGAGAACUUUUCUUUCAGUUCAAACAGUGUUCUUCGGUAG